GGAAAAUAAACCAUUUCAGGAGUAAAAACACAGAGUGAAGUAAACGUGUGUCCUGCUGUAAUCUGGAGAAGGAGACAUGACCUCUAACAUGAGAGGGUCUGGAAAACAGGACUUAAAGAAAGACGAGAGAAUGAUGGAGGGAAAGAGAUCAGACUCACCAGAACCCAGCUGUGUGUCCAUGAAGAGUGACACGUCAAUGGAACAUCCAAUACUCUUCAGAGACCGAGACCGUUCUCCUGAUGUGAG
Molecule: long non-coding RNA, 246 nt
Organism: Pangasianodon hypophthalmus (striped catfish)
Lineage: Eukaryota; Metazoa; Chordata; Actinopteri; Siluriformes; Pangasiidae
Exons: 3
Source: RefSeq, a predicted model, not a curated record